UACGUAGGGUGCAAGCAUUAAUCGGAUUUAUUGGGCGUAAAGGGCGCGUAGGCGGGAAUAAAAGUCAGAUGUGAAAUCCCGGAGCUCAACUCCGGAACAGCAUUUGAAACUGCAUUUCUAGAGGGUAGGCGGAGAAAACGGAAUUCCACAAGUAGCGGUGAAAUGCGUAGAUAUGUGGAAGAACACCAGUGGCGAAGGCGGUUUUCUAGCUUACACCUGACGCUGAUGCGCGAAAGCAAGGGGAGCAAACAGG
RNAcentral lists this ribosomal RNA (253 nucleotides) under uncultured bacterium. RNAcentral describes it as "partial 16S ribosomal RNA". It matches the Rfam family "Bacterial small subunit ribosomal RNA", at positions 524 to 776 of the family's 1533-position model. The record is from RNAcentral.